Molecule: ribosomal RNA, 482 nt
Filed under: uncultured bacterium
Lineage: Bacteria
Description: partial 16S ribosomal RNA
Rfam family: Bacterial small subunit ribosomal RNA
Source: RNAcentral
AUUGAACGCUGGCGGCAUGCUUUACACAUGCAAGUCGAACGGUAACAGGCCGCAAGGUGCUGACGAGUGGCGAACGGGUGAGUAAUGCAUCGGAACGUGCCCAGUCGUGGGGGAUAACUACUCGAAAGAGUAGCUAAUACCGCAUACGAUCUAUGGAUGAAAGCGGGGGACCGUAAGGCCUCGCGCGAUUGGAGCGGCCGAUGUCAGAUUAGGUAGUUGGUGGGGUAAAGGCUCACCAAGCCAACGAUCUGUAGCUGGUCUGAGAGGACGACCAGCCACACUGGAACUGAGACACGGCCCAGACUCCUACGGGAGGCAGCAGUGGGGAAUUUUGGACAAUGGGCGCAAGCCUGAUCCAGCAAUGCCGCGUGCAGGAAGAAGGCCUUCGGGUUGUAAACUGCUUUUGUACGGAACGAAACGGCUCUGGUUAAUACCCGGGGCUAAUGACGGCACCGUAAGAAUAAGCACCGGCUAACUACGUG